CCAAUAGCGUAUAUUAAAGUUGUUGCAGUUAAAAAGCUCGUAGUUGAAUUUCGAGAUCAAUAUGUCGGUCGUGCUUAGGUACGUACUGGUAUUAUUGAUUUCUCCUUUCUGAUGAACCAUAAUGCCAUUAAUUUGGUGUUAUGGGGAAUCAGGACUGUUACCUUGAAAAAAUUAGAGUGUUUAAAGCAGGCUCACGCUUGAAUACAUUAGCAUGGAAUAAUGAAAUAGGACGUUUGAUUCUAUUUUGUUGGUUUCUAGGAUAGACGUAAUGAUUAAUAGGGAUAGUUGGGGGAAUUAGUAUUCAAUUGUCAGAGGUGAAAUUCUUGGAUUUAUUGAAGACUAACUACUGCGAAAGCAUUUGCCAAGGAUGUUUUCAUUAAUCAAGAACGAAAGUUAGGGGAUCGAAGACGAUUAGAUACCGUCGUAGUCUUAACCAUAAACUAUGCCGACUAGGGAUCGGAUGAUGUUAAUUUUUUAAUGACUCAUUCGGCGCCUUACG
Molecule: ribosomal RNA, 499 nt
Filed under: uncultured Glomeromycotina
Lineage: Eukaryota; Fungi; Glomeromycota
Description: partial small subunit ribosomal RNA
Rfam family: Eukaryotic small subunit ribosomal RNA
Source: RNAcentral